This 729-nucleotide small RNA is filed under the name Pan troglodytes (chimpanzee). RNAcentral's name for it is "processed transcript". The record is from RNAcentral. Lineage: Eukaryota; Metazoa; Chordata; Mammalia; Primates; Hominidae.
GGAGAAGUGAGAUGAUUUGGGGGCUUCCUGGGACCUGUGUACUCAGUUGAUAGGGGCUCGUUUUCAAUCCUGUGUUGUGUGCCUCCACAGGAAUUGAGGCAUCGGACCUGUCCAGUCUGCUGGAGCAGUUUGAGAAAUCAGAAGCCAAAAAGGAGUGUCCUCCUCCGGCUCCUGCUGACAGCUUGGCUGUAGGAAACUCAGGGUAAGUAUGGAGACAUGAGCGAGUUACCCUACAGCUGUUAGUCAGCAGCCGGCUGACACUCCAGGACUGUCAACUGGAUGCCUCUGUUGCAGGGACGCUGUAGUCAGCUCUAGAGUCUUUCCCUGUUUCCCCACCCCUUACUCUGCCUAUCACUACUGGGCAGUGUCUUGGGUGGUGAGGUGAGAACGGGGCAUGUUCACUGCCUUCCAGCUGAUUCCAGUCGGGCUCCAAAUGUCCUGGAGGUGCCUUUUAUCUCCUGGCAAGUCAUACCUUUGGGGAUUUCUUUCUUUCAUUUAAUAACACUUCAAGUUUGCUCAGUGCUGGUAAUGGUGUAACUUAAAGUGGAGGAAGAUGUUAAUGGCUAGGAGUCAUUUUUCAUGUUCAUGGUCCUCCAUCCUGUUCUGCCAAGCAUGUUCCCCUCCACAUUGAUUUCAGGUUGGUGUGAGCUGGGCAGGUGAGACUCGAUGUGAAGGAGGUGGGGGGUAUUCAAGGUCAUGGCCAGCCUGCCUCUUGGAAUUGGGCAGGGC